Molecule: long non-coding RNA, 27793 nt
Organism: Gallus gallus (chicken)
Lineage: Eukaryota; Metazoa; Chordata; Aves; Galliformes; Phasianidae
Source: Ensembl
GGAAUAUUUUAGUGCCUGGGUAGCCAGGGUCUGUAAUUUCAAGUCAGUGAUCUGGCAAUGAUCAGCAAUCAAACAAAGCAAAUUCCUGUACGAUAUUACAUGCUUCAAUGACAUUUUGGUUUCUGACCAAAAAGCAGUGAGCUUUCAGUAAUAAAAGAAUCAUUCUGUGGACUGUGGUCAUACUGUCACUUUUGCAGCUAUUGGCACAGGAAUAACUAAGGGAUCAUAAGGGAUCCUGCUUGAGAAGCUGUUACUGGAGCCAGACUGAAAAACAGCAGCUAUUCCAACUGCUGCAAAAGGGAAGAACAAGGGUGCUCUUGUACUGCCAAACAAAUAUUGUAAGGAACUGAACCCAGUGUCGUCCUGUUUGCUGCCUGCCAAGUGUGGCCACCUGGAGGACAAGAAAGAUGACAGCUAUUCUGCCUGACAUAUUGAAAAAGUACAAAUACAAGCCAACAGCUUCUAACAGGUAAAGAUAAGGAAAAGAAAGGACUGAAGUUAUGUUGCAUCUUUUCAUUUCAAAUUUCUUUGCAACUGCCUUCCAAGUAUCUGUAAGAAAAUGUCAGUAUCCUGGGCAUAUAAUUUAGAGCAACUAAUUUUGUUAAACACAUUUAUUCUAAUUUUCCUCUCAUUUUCAUUUGUUGUAUCUCACUAAAUAUCUACAUCUAAAUGAAUGAUGUCAGACAUCUCGCAUGCCUAGUGGGUUUUGUUGUUGUUGUAUUUUUAAGUUUAUUUUCAAUAUAUGUUCUGUUCUGUGUUUGGUCAGAACCAAACAUGACCACUAAUUUUGCUGAUAAGAACUUUACCUGCUCUCUUGCUCUUCUUCAGCACUGGGCAUUUAAUUCUGCAGCUGUUCUACAGCUAUGGAAGAACAUGGCUUUGGGAUAUAGGCUACAUGCUGCUGUAAGUACAAAUGUUCUGUAUGCAGGGGCAGAAGUUUUGCUGUGAUGCAGUAGCUACAAGUUUGAGAGCACCUUCAUGGUUGACGAUGUUCAGGCUACUAGAAGUCAGAAAUACAGAACUGAUAUGGUUGCUUUCAGCAUAAUAUAGAUGAAGCUUAGCACGAGGCAAAUUAAAUUGUUUUGAGAUAAUGCUUUGUGUAGGGGUAGUCUCAAACACCUCACAUUUCCAAGUCAUCAAGUUUUUUUUACAUAAAGAAUAUCUUUGAGUUAUGUUUCUAAAAGAGAAGUGACUGAAGAGAUGAUCAUCUUACUUUUAAAUGUGUGACAUGAAAAACUUUUAUGUUCCUCCUUUUCUGUUAGAGACAUGAACCACUGCUGCUCUUCCCAGAAAAAUCACAUACCUUGGCAAGCUCUGCCUGCCCUUAGGCAAACCAUCUUUCUCACUUCCCAUGAGAAUAUCCUAGUCAUUGGGAAAUGCAGAUGGUGGUACACUGCCACACUGGCUUCACUACUCCCCUGAGAGAUAUCAAAUCAUCUCAUGCAGCUUGCUAGGUAAUAUACCCAGCGAUGGCUGUGGCCAGAAUCUUCAACAUGAGAAGGGAAAAGAUGUUGUGCAGCACAGAAGAAAUUAAUGAAUGAAGAAAGCUGAACUUAGAAAGGAAAUAUAAUUGCACAACACCAGGAGGAUAUUUCUGAAUUAGCAAGUUAAAUGACAGAUACUUCUAUAUUUUGAUGUCUUACCUUCAUUCAACAAAAAUCCAUCACUUUCGAUAUGAGAUUCUUUGGUCCUGCUACAUGAAGUGUAGACACAAAAAUUGUAACUAUGAAGGAGGAAAAUGGCUAAAAAGUAUUUUCAGGUUUGUAGUCUCCUUCAGUUUCUACUGAAUUAGAUUUCUUUAGCAUAAAAAGAGGUGUAUUUUUCUGUGAGGUUGGAACAAUUGGCAUUGUUGACUUCUUAUGUCAGUAAUGAUGAACAUCUCAUUUUGUUAAUUUCAGUAGCAUUUUCAAAAGAAAAAAAUGUCAUCUGUUUCUGGUGCACGGCUCUUUAAAUUUCAGGGAAGAAGUUCAGAUCAUGGCUCAAGUCAUGUUUUAGUGACUGUAAAGUAUUCAUUAGGAAAAAUGGCAAACAGUUUACAACUACUACAUGUGCUGGCAGGCUAUUGCCUCUAGCUUGGUAACGGUACUGUUGUGUUCUGAUAGUUGUGUUAUUGCCUGCAGUAUAGUCACUGACUCAGUAGGAGAACUUUGCUAACAAAAUCAAGUCAGAUGUUGCUAAAAGCCUGAACAAUAUGACAUGAAUUAAAAACUACAGACGGAACUUCACACGUACCAUAUAAUGACUGUUUACAACCUAAUGCCAAUGUGAAGAUUUUCUUUGUGUUAGUUUUGGGACUCUCAGGGAGCGAGGCUUUUGAGUAAUGCUUGUCUUCGGUCACUGGAGAGGCAAGAGUUACAAAAACUGCUCCUGGAGUAGCUCAUAAAUAUCAAUAGGCCCAGUUUUCUGUGAAACCCUGUGGCAAGCAGUACAAGUUUGAAAACAAGAGUGUCUUCUCUGGGCAAAAAUGGAUAAUGAAAUUGUCCUGCAAGUUGGAUGUGUGCUGUGAGCUGCCAGCUGGGCCCCUCCUCUAAAAAAGUGGAUUUAAAAUACUUUGUAUAUUUGCAACCCAAGGCAAAAAAUCUAUUUACAUUCCAAAGCAAACUCCCCCAACUCUGAAGGCUGAUACUUCCUCAUUUCUAUAGGGAGUAUGCCAAGCUAAAUCAUUUGCUCUUGCUGGCAGGACUGUUUUUAAAUUCCCAGGUGGAAACCUAAGGAAACCAGAUGUCAUUUGAAAAUUUAUUUCGUGAGAUAUUAAAAACAAAACAGAAAAGCAACACCACAGGAUGCAUCUCUCCAUGCAGAAGGUAAAAUGCAGUACAAAAAACAGUAGUACCCAAUUUGGUCUAGCCCAUUUAAAUUACAGUUAUUUUCAGGUGCUGCCACAGGGCAAGCUCACGGCACGUUCUCUGGGCCCUGAGGAUAUCACCAGCCCUGAGCAUCCCUGCCCACCCUCCUGGGUCUCCCAGGUUCUUGCCUGCCCAGGCCCAGGUCCACACAUGAGCUCCUGAGUUGUCAGCCUGUCAAUCCCAGCCCUAGUGAGGUCACGGCAGGGCCAGGCUCCAGCAGCCUCCCCACAACCCAGCCAGGGGCCCGUACAUACUGAUGAUGGGCAUCUAUCAAUCUCAAGCAUGCCCUUAGAUCUUCUAACAGGACCGCUUUGACUGUCACUGCAGAUAUGGUUUAUGUGAAUCUGUAUGAACAGAUCUGAAUUUCACCCUGUUUGAUGAAUACUUUUUUAUACAUGCUGAGUGAAGGGUCAUGUAGGUGUAAUUAUAGAAAUGUAAAAUCAGCUUGAUAUAUUUGUUCUCUGCAGUUAUUUCUGAAAUAAUCUGGAAGGUCAUAAAGAUAAUUUGUAAAACAUGUGCCAGCUUGUAAAAAUGUUUGGGAGUGUGGAAGACCUAUUAGUUCUACCCUUAGCUUAUUUAUAUCCUUUCUGGACAGAGGAUGGGUAAGUAACUCUGAGUAUAUGUCCCUGGCUGAGUCAUAUCCUUAAAAUGUUGAAAACCAGGAAAUUAUUGUUUAUGAGGGAUAUAUGUUUCAUUUUUCUCACUGUUUUAUUGCCUUACAAAUCACGUUAUAGGGAAAAGCAAAUAUUUUGAAACGUAAUUAAUAACUUUUGAGAGCUAAUGGAUUCAAAGAUGAGCUAUAGCAGUAAUUGGUUGCAUUGAGACAUUUAUGUUUUGUAAAGCUGCCCUGACUGUUUUUCCAUUACUACCCCUUGGUAAUGUACAAGUCAAUUUAUCUUUCAAAUGUUCUUUAAAUAUGCUCAGAGCUUUUCCUCCCUCUUCAGGCACAUUGUGAGUGUCUAUCUAUAGUUUCCUCUGUGAAGCUUCAAGGGUGACCAUUCAGUGAAAGCAAGAGUCUCUUCCUACUGAAAGAUGAAGAAGUAAUUAUUAGUAAUGUUGCUUCUUUUCACUGUCUGUUUCCAUGGGGCAUUAAAUGAUAAUCAUAAGUUAUGUAGGUGAUUUAAAGCAGGAGUCCACAAGCCUCAUGGCACAGAUACAGGAAUGCACAUCCAGGAAGGCCAUGACUGGCUCAAUGCUGCUGCGGCCAACGUGCUGUGAAGCUUCAGCAUCAAUUUAAGCUGGAAGCAGCAAUGUAAAGAUUGUUCCCAGAACCUUGCAAUGUUAGGUCUGAGAUUUACCUUUGUAUAAAUUCUCCAUUAUUCUCUGAAUCAAUUUGAUAAAGUUGGCUUAGUCAAAGCCUUGUGGGAUUUUUAUCAUGAAGUUUUUUUUUUCCAUAGACUUCUUAGGGUUCUCAGUCAUACUGGAGAAAGAUAAAUGAGGCUGGUGAAAAAAUAAGCCAUGAUUAUGAGGAGCCUGACCCUGCAAACUAUUUGUUCUCUCUUAUAACCUUGCAGGUCUGGCUUCCUGUUCCUGACCAAGGGAAUGAGAACCAAAAGCUUCAGUCAAUGCUGUGUUACGUAUAUGGGUUUCUGCUUCUCUUAUACUAACUCUGUUAACAUGAAGCAUACAACCAAUGUUUUAGGUGUUGUUUUCCUUCUUCUGAAGGCCUGCUAAACUGAGAACAGUUUAUUCAAAGCAAAAUAGCAUUUGGAUGCCAAAAGAGCAGCAAGGAAAAUGGCUAAAAUAACCCUCUGAUCUCCUUCCCCUUCCCCACUCCCACAAAACUAAAAUCAUUCUGUACCUGAAACAGUCUUUCUGCCCAUGCCUCUGUUAUAUUGCUGUCUAUAGUGGAAGAACUGUAUUGCUUGCUCUGGUCCCUGACUCUCCCUGACUCCAUCAUACAGUGCAUCAAAACAGGAGCCAGGAACUCUGGCACUAAAUGGACCACAGGUCUUGUCACUGGUGCAGUUCAGAGCAGUUUCUGGCAUGUUUUUAGCCCAGGACUAUUGCUUAUUCCACAUUCAGUUUACGAAUUUAACAGUAUGAAUGUAGGCCUUUGUGCCAGACAGCCUCAGAGCCAGAAAAUGGUCUCAGGCACAUUUCAAUUCACAGUAUAAAGGUAGCAUUCAGGUCAAAAUGUGUUUUUACACCUCUGUCAGCUUUCUCAAAAGCACCACUUAGAAUCCCUCUUUCUAAGACUGUUAUUUUAGACUAUUAAAUUGCAUAGACUUCUGGAUUUUAAAGCUAAGAUAAACUCAAGACAUUAUUUCUUAGGCUGAAAGAAGCAGUUCAAGUGUGGCAUGAAAAUAGGACCAUGAAAUGAAGAAGAAAAAUGAUAAAAAGAAGAUGAAGAUUCUGACUGCUUAAAAAAAAAAAAAAAAAGGAAGAAAUGCUCAACUUUGGUGUAAUUUCUGGGUGUCCAAACCUUUGGCUUCCCUGGGCCACACUGAGUGAACAGGAAUUGUCUUGGGCCACACACACAGAGGUUGCCCUGAAAGUAAUACCUCCUACUUAUUUCCAUGGAAAUUACAACAAAGAACACAAUAACACUGUUUCACAGAGCAAAUUCACAGCUACAGAAAAAUGUUUUUCAAUAUAGUUAACACCAUUAGCUAUGUAUUUUUGCCAGUGAUGAACGAGGGCCUGCAUAUCAUGCUUGACUAAAUCUGCAACAGUGGAGGUGACCCAAAGUCACUGUCGCCACUGCUGAAAUGCAUGACCCACUGCCUCAGUGUUCUCCAAUUCACUGUUUAGUCUCCAGAAACUAUCAGCAAGCAUCAAUGAAUGUCAGUGGAUGCCAUUUUCUUCUGCAUGGAGGAAUUUAAUUACACACCUUUGCUUCAUACUCACUUCCAUGCCAAAUGCCAUUUUGUCAGAUUGCCACUCUGUGUCAUCUGUUGCACAGCAACAAAAUUUAACAGAAUAUUGGUGGGAAGGUUCAACCUCUACUGCCAUACCACCAAUAUACACCACUGAUGUCACUUGUCAACAGAAGAAAAUAGGAGGCAUUACUUUUGGAGCACCCCUCAUAAAAUAUAUAUUUCAUGUCUAUAAGUAACAAAAUUUAUUUUAAUAGUUAAUCUUUUUAUUAAAUAAAAAAUAAACAUGAGAGCAACAAAAAUAUAAAACUAGUGGGAUAUUUGACUUUGUUUUUGUGAAACGAAUGCCUCAGGCUGGCUUGAUGGCAGUGGCUGCAAUUCUUUGUGAGCUCUCAAGGUAAACAUUUUUAAUGAAAUUUUACUUCUCCUUCCUAUCCUUGAAAUAGUUGUUCACAAAUAUGCACAUUGACAAAAAGCAAUGAUGUGAAUAAGGUGUGAUUAAGAGGUGAGGAAUGUUUUUCUCUGGUAAGCUAAGGCUAAUAAAAGUAAAGUGACAUGGUCAGGUUUUUGAGUUGCAAAUACACCAAAUAGUGAUGCUUGUUUUGGUGAUCUUGAAACCUGUUCUCAAAUUCCUUUAUCAAAAGGAAAAGUACAGCAGCACAUUUUUUGCUGUUCACAGGACUGUGUUUAGCCAGACUCAAAAUGCAUACAUUUAUUUGCUACAACUCUUAGCACUGCACUGUGCCCUCCCUGUGUAUUGGUUGCAGCUCAGGCAGUGUUAAUAGUGCACAAAUGUUUGGUUGUUGCUGAGCAGUGGGUGCACUCUGGGGCUGGGCAGAGCUGCAGUGGGGGACAGAUGGCACAUGUCAGGGGCGAGGCUGCAUUGCCAACUGCACCAGGCCACGUGUGGCCCAUGGGUUGAACAUGCCUAGUCUGAUGUAAUCUAGAUCUAAAUGCCUGUGGUCUAAAGCAAAAACAAAAUAUCAAAACCUCAGAAUUUCGCAUGAAUGGAAAUGUCAUUUUCCAGCCAUCUUUUUCAGUAGAUCUGCAAAAGCACACCCUUAAAUUCCCCAAAGAUUGCUGCCGCUGCUGAGAUGACAUCAGCAUUUUUUCUUAAAGAAGAAAAUACCAUGCCAUUAAUCUGAGACAAUCCUUUGUCAAAAGUGAACGCUGGAAUACUUACAGUUCUGAACUUGUCCUGAAAUAGCUUUGUAUCACUAGUGCCAAUACUUGACUCAUUUCAUCCUUUUUAAAACACACCUGUAAAAAUAAUGCUUAAUUCCCAAGUAUGUGAUUUUAGAAUACACAUUAUUCCAAACAAGCAGCUGUUAAGAACUUAUCUUUACUUCCUUACUUUACUUAGUGUUUUUUAAUGUACUGGUCUUGUUCUUAGGCUUUUUUUGUCCAGAAAGAUUGGUAUCAAGGAAAUCUCUAUAUUGUUCUUUAUCUUAUAUAGGACCAAUAUGGGAUCUAGUUACAUUUUAAACUGUUAUCUAAUGCAAAGUUUACCUGCUGUGAAAAUAAAGCCCUUUUCUGAUGUAGGUUUUGUAGUCAGAGAUUACCUUCAUUGAAAGCUAAGAUGUCUUGUUUCAGAAAUUUGCUUUCAUUCUCCAUUAGUUACAAACAGCAAAUUGACAAGAGCAUUUAUUUUACUUUAUUUAUUUCAUUUUCUCUUAUUUUAGUAACUAAACAGUGUCCAAAUGCUUAUUGUAAUUAUUUUUAAAUACUGAGUUGUAUUUUUUUUGCACCUUUUCCAACAUUGUGUUUAAUGUGAAAUUUUCUUACAUACGUCACUGGUGAACAGUUUAGGAGAAAUAUCUUUAGUAUUCUUCACUUUUCUAGCUAGAAACCGUAGUGACAAGCCAUAAAUGCUUUAGUCUCUGCUGGGGAUUUAUUAACACUGUGAAGGAAUCUGGCAGUCUUGUUAGGAGCUAUACAUACCUCCGAAAAAAAACCUGCUCCUUUGAAAUGAAAGUUUUGGUUGUUUCCCUUAAGGCAGCUUGAAGUUUGUCAGGUUUCUACAAAUCUUUCUGUUGGUGUUUUAUUUUUAUUUUUUUAAUGGGAAAGAACAGCUGUUAUUUUUCAAGAGUUUCAAGAUCUUCAUGCGCACAAUUAAGCAUGCAAAGUGGAACCAAAUUCUUUGUUAAGUAAAGUAAAAUGUGUGUAUUUCACAUUAAGCAUUGAAAUAAACAUGGAAAUAAAGCUAGCAUCUUUUCUGCAGAAAAAAAAAUAAGUCAUGCUAGAAAGCAUUUUAGGUUUAUUGAAGCUCAAGGCAAUGAAAUCAUGUAUAUUAAUGCUGUUCUAAGGGAAGAGAAUAAGAUUGUAUGAAGAAGUGAAUGAUUAUAAUAUAACAGGAUUUUUUUUUUUUUUUUUUUUUUUUUUUUUUUUACCACAAGAUCUGUUAGGAUCUGUUAUUCAUUGUCUGUCAGGUCUGCAUUUCACUCUGUUUUUCCUCCUAGCCUUUAAAUUCUUGAUGCACAGUUUGUUUCUGUUGUCCAUCCCUUUCACACAUGAUGUGUCUUAAAGUUGUUGGUUCUCUUUCAAGUCACACUGUUUUCUUGAGUAAAUAGUAACAUCUCACUGGGUAAGUGUCCUCUUCAUGGGGAAUAGGUGUAUCAUCCAUGCUUCUCGGCAUGGCCUCUUGUUUGUCAUGGAAAUACGCUCUGCUCAUUGCUAUGUCAGUAACUUUUUCUUUGAUAUUCUUUUUUUUCUUUUUCUUUUUCUUUUUCUUUUUUUCUGUGCAUUUUGCUUUCUGAUUUGUUCUUGCUGACGGACUGAAAGUACUUGUAUAAAAUUUUAUUUAAUCAUUUGUCAUAUUCGGAAAGUCAGGACUCCACAACAUAAAGCAAGAUUGAGGAAACAUCCUCCAUCAGUCUUUCUUUGCAGUUUUCCUUAAUUCCAUCCAACAGAUCAGGUAGUUGACCUUCUGUCUAUGCAUCUUUCCUUAAAUACUUAAGUUCAUUUAGGUAUUCAUAUUUAUUUCUGUCAUUUUUCUCUCAUGUUAUUUAGAAAAAAUGCUUGGAUUUCACUCCUCAGUUAAUAAUGAUGCUUGUCAUCAUUCUGAGGUUUUAUGUGCAAUCUUUAACUGGUAUCAAGCUGUGUAACAGAAUCUCGGUUCUACAGUUUACAGCAUACUCAGAGAUUGCUAUACCCAAAAGCAAUUCAAAGAGCAGAAGAAACUUGAAUUACUGUGGGAAUACAAGAAAGGCUAUUCAGAGCAGAAGCUGUGUAGCAAGAUAAAUGGCGUGAGAAAGCAAUGCUGAGAACCAAGGACAUUUCCACAAGAAGAGAAAAAUGAAGUCAAGUAAGCUGCAUGAUGGCUACAUGAUAACAACCAUGAUUGGAGGAAGGGCGCAUGGCUAGGAAUGACUCAUGACUCUUAUUGGAUAAGUGCCUGCAUGCACGGUUAAGGAGUGCUUACGAAAUGUUUUGUUGACAUUUAGAGGGAGGUGGGAAAAUUACUAGAGAAAACUUGUGAAAGUAUUUAAGGGAUGUUAGAACCUGCAAUAAAUGAUUUGAAUCAUUCACAUCUGAGUCCGUGCCUCAGACAUUGCAAAUUACCACCUUUGCACAUUGCUUGAAACUUGAGUUUCCCAGUAACACUGAGAGGCUGUCUUCCCUGGAGAUCAGUACAGCUCUAAGGCCUUUCUUUGUAUGUUGUGUUUCUCAGCAGGGACACAAUGAAGCUGUUUAAAUGAUCAUACAAAUAAGUACAACAAUUCUCCUUUUGGAAAGCUCUCAAGAAACACAGGUCUUCUUUCAUAUUGUGUUAGCAAUUAAGAGAUUGUGCUAAGUUUUGAUUUCUCUGAAAACAAUGAGUGCAAUUGAAAGAAACUUACCAGUCAGAAGCUUGACAGUUGGAUUGCCCGAUGCUGUCUUCCUCUAAUCUGGCAUCUUUCUGAUUUCUCUCUCUGAAACCCAGUUGAAUGGAUCUCGUCUAUUGUGUGGCAAAAUAUUGAAUUCUUAGAGGAGUAUCUAACACUUAGAAGUGGACGUAUCUCUUGGCUUUUACUGAAGAAAAAUUGAAAUUUCCCCUGUGCAACAUGGAUUUUUUGAGUAAAACUGAUUUUUUUCUAAUGUAAAUACAUACUGAUUGGAAAGCUCAAUUAUCUAUAUGUACAUAUUUACUGAAUGAAAGAAACCUCUCUCCCAAAAUAGACAACAAUAGGAACAUUUUUAUUUAUAAAGAUAGAAUAUAAUGAUUUUGGCUGUUAUUAUGUACAGUGAUACACAUUUGGUAACCUUGAAAAAUGAAUAUAUUGUUCUUGAGCUACUGCUAAUGUGUUAAGAUGCUUGCAGCAGUUAGAGACAUGUUUGCUGUACAAAUGGCAAGGGCUUGUAUAAGUUUGUUUCGUAAUGUGUUGCUAUCUUUCACUAACAUGUAUGUAAUACAAAGGAAUUCUAGGUGGGAAUUCUAUCUGUACAGAGAUUGCACAGCAUCAUUUCAUUUGCAUCAAUUUAUGUCAUGCUCUUUUGAAAAAACACUACCUUCUUAUCUACAAAUAGAGGUAGAGGUUUGCUUAGUACCUGAUUUCUUGUUCAGUUUCUUCAAGAAGAGACAGUUAAUUUUGAAUAGUGUCAUCUUUUCAAAAAGAGAACAAAGUAUGAAUUAAAAAUACUAUGUGAAGUAAUACAAACUUUCAAGGUAAAAAACAAAACAAAACAAAAAUGACAACAACAACAACAACAAAAGCAAGCAAGCAAGUAUACAGCUUCUUGCCCUUGCAAAGUGGGAGCCAUCAUUUUAGAAUUCUUCAAAUCAUGUCAUCAUUUCCUAUAAUAUCACAUAAUGGCCAGCUGGCACACUGAAAUAAUGAAAUGUUGACUCUACUGAAUAUUAAGAGUGUUAUUCUUAUUAUGAAGGCCAUUGUUAGUGCAUAUAGAAGCUCUUAAAGAUGCAAAUCUUUGUUACUUUUCAACAGCCUGCUUUAGAAAAAAGAAAUUCAAUGGAAUGUAGCACAGCCUUGUUGUUAUAAUAUAUCUUGUAAUACAUACUUUUUGUUACAUCAAAAGCUUCUCAGAUGGUCAAAGACAAAAGACAUAAUUGAAUUACAUAUUUAAUUUGUUUUAACGAGACACCUGUAACUGGGACACUUUAAGGUACGAAACAUAAAUCUUGUGUACAUAGAGCAGAAGAUUGUUUUCUAACAAGAAGUCAAAAGUAGCAGGUUGGGAACCAUUUUUCUCUUUUUUACUUAAAUAUAGCUAAUAUCAAACAUUAACAAUUACUUCUAAUAAGAAGCACUGUAAAGUUAUGAUUGGAAUAAAAUGGCAUUUGUUUUUAAUAAUGCAUAUGAUAUAGUAAUGAUAUUAAGGUUGGAAGUAAUUCAACGCACAGAUUAUUUUACUUUUACAGUCAAAGAGUACAUCCUUCUCUCUCCAAUCUUUCCACACUACGUGGCUCAAAGGAAAUCAUACAGGUAUUUCAUAGCUCUUAAUGUUUAAAUCCCAGUUCAUGCACACGGUUAUUCUUGUGAAUCUAUGGAUUUAUCCAUAUCUAUGAAAUUAAACAAAUGCUUUAGGCUUUGUUGGAAGGGAAUGCAUAAAUUUUUACUAUCAAAAAUGGAAAUUGAUUGAAGUUUGUAGAGAAAAACAGUUUUUUGUUUAUUUUUGACUAAACUAUGUGUUGGUCCUAUGAAUGUGUCUCACUAAUAAUUUGAACAUCACAUCACAAAAAUACUACAACUUUUUAAAAGAAAAAACAAAGCACAUCAAGCACACAAACAGAUCUGUAAGUCACAUCUCAGUUACAGAAGUUUUGCAUGUGCUUCUUUCAUUCUUACUUUGUGAACACCUCAGGACAAUUUACAUACAAAUUUCUUAAUAUGUUGUUUUAAAGAGUAAGAAAAUGAAGUUGAAAUUCUCCUUUAAUUAUUGCCCUCAGCUGACUGGGGCUAAAGUGGGACUAGUGUCCAAACAAUAACUUAUUAUUUUUUGUGUGCUCUAUACCAGCCACUGCCUGACGUUCAGACUACUGCUUUGCAGCAGAAAGAAUAACGAGUUAGAAAGACAAGGGCAGAAGGUAGAGGGAGAGGGAUAUUGGGGUAGAGCUGGCAGAGAAAGCUAGAAAGAGUAGAUGGAGAGCAGAGGAGACUUGCUGGGAGGAGUUGGUGGGAAUCCAGGUCACUGAAGGAUUUAGGGGAUAUAAACAAAUCUAGAGAACCAAAAGUGGAUUCUGUAUAUGUCUCUGGGACUGAAUGAGCAAGAAAAUGAUUGGCAUUAGGAAAAAGUGGCUUGAUAGUAUGGCUGGGACUGGCAGGGUGAAUAGAACCAGCAUAGACAAGGGCAAAGGCAGGGCAGAAAUUUUGUGCGUGGAGACUAUGCACUGUCAGAGCUUAUUUGGAAGCCCAGAUCCAUAAGUCUUAAUAGCCUUGUUUUGAGCAAUCCUGAUGCUGUGAUGGUUUCCAACAGGAGUAAAGCUAAAGGAGCCCAAUUUUUUAAAGUCUUAUAGGGGGAAUAAGCAGUUUCCUGUAGCUAUAGCAAAGGCUUUAUUUCUAGAGCAAACUAGUAAGAAAAAGGAAAUGGUAUAUCAUCCUGAAAGUAAACUGUAAAAUGUAUAUCGUAUUGCUGCUGAAUGUUGCCAUAACAGCCUUCAUUUCAUCAUGUAAUAACUUCUUUUAGCAUACUCUCUUGGAUUAAUUCCUUUUAAAACUUUGCGUUUGAAAAUAUUGAAUGUAGUUGCGCCCAGUUUUCUCUCCUUGGUUUCUUCAUCUCCUUCUCAAGAUAAAAUUACAGCAAACUCUGUGACUCUGUGCCAUGCUGAAAGCUACAUGAACAUUUAAUGACUAUAUUCUCAUCCAGACAUCUAAUGGACUGAAUUUUUUUUUUUUUUUUUGCUCAGGAUCACACAGGAUGUCUUUGGCAGAAUUUUAUUAGCUAGUUGCUAUGCCAUUUUGUCUUUUUCUCUGAAGUCAGAAAUAGGUCCUCCUUCUAUGAUUAUUUUAUUCCAUCAGCAAAUUCUAUUCUGAAUUAGAAUUAUUUUGUUCUAUUGUUCCAGAAUUGUUCUAUUCUGUUCUAGAAUUGUUCUAUUCUGAACAAUUAUUCCUCUUGAGACAGCGGAAAGUGAGCCUCAAUAUAUGGUGAACCCAUGGUGUUUGGAAAUGUUUAAUUUCUUCACUUCAGUUCACAAUCACUCUAGGGAAUUUCUGAGAAGGACAAUACUAUUAGAAGUUCUGAGAAGAACUCAAAAACUUGCAGCAAACUUCUACUGCUAAAAUGGCUAGUGACCAUAAGAAUGAAUGUAUGGUCUACUGAGAGCAGCAGGCACUUCUUUCAUUAGCCUGAUAGAAAAGUAUUUCAUAAAUAUAUAGUGCUCUGCAGUUGAUGGAGUCUUCACAAAAUGCUGGUAGUUUUAAUGCAGAUUGCUACAAGAUUCCAUUAACUCACUGGUGAUGAUCUGAUUUUUUUUUUUUUUUUUUUUUACAGUGUAAAUGUGUUUUUCUUCUACUUUCUGAUUGGUAUGAAAACAAAUGAAUGUGUGCAGAUGCUGCUUUUAUGCCUGAAAUUAGCAGAACACCAUGCUUUCUCUCUCUUCAUUAUCAUUUUGAAUGAUCGCAACUUUCUAGAUUCAAGAAUAAGAAUGGAUUAAUUUGUAAAAUCAGAGACCCAAUCUCACAAAUACUUUAGGUGCUCCUGCUUCUUUGUUCAUGGCACAGAAGUUGAAACAUACAAAUUUUGAUAAAGGUUUAGUAACAAAUUGGGAGUAAUCUAUUGUCUGUUUCUACAAAGGAAAAAAAAGAAAACAUUGAAACACAUUAAAAAUAUGAAACUCUUAGAAGGUCAUUUAUAACAUUCAAUGCAGUCUUAAGUAGCUGACAAUGAUCGUAUGCUUACUCCUCUGAAAGCAAGAGAUGACUACAUCUUUCAGGCAAUUAAUUCAAAGACUGCACCUUAAAUAUAUGACUGUUUGAAAAAGCUUUCAGUACCGCUAAGUAUCCCGAGAAUAUAGCAUGUUAUAAUGUGUGCAAAACAUGGAGUGAUUUGACAUCUAACUUUGGAACCUGAACCUCCGAGCUUAGCCUUGCAAUUUCAGUCUCUACUGCCCUGUUUUCCUACAGUGACAUAAACAGAAGAUGGCACUGUUUAUUCAUUUGUCUGAAAAUAAAAAGAUAUUUUCUGUUCUUUCAAGGAAAAAAAUAAAUGCUAGUAUACAAGUAAAACAGAAAAGAAAAUGGAGGUGAUCAUGCUUUUGGAGAAAAUGAUACUUUCUGCUGAGUCAGGACACAUGCUUAUAAAAGCUGCAGUAUUGUCAUGGCUCAGAGAAGAGCUACCUUUUGGUGUGACAGCUGUAUAAAGUUCAAAGCCUCUGUGAAACAGGGGGCAUGAAAUACAACAUACAGAGAUCAAACACCAGAGGAGGAGAGGGCAUGUAUUAAAGUUGUUUUUUGUGUACUGAAAAAAAAUACUAUGAGAACAUAAUUAUACAAAAAGAUGCAUUUGAUAAUUGGCUUGUUAAUACAGGUAUCAUCCAACACAGGGAGUUUUCUGUGGAGAUGCAUGAUUGUUUUUUUCACCAAGGGAAGCCUUGGAAUUAACAAAGGGGCUCCUGAGCUCCUGGUCUUAUGAACAUCCACAUACAUGUUUUCAAGUCCUUUAUUUUAUGAGGGAACAUAAAAGGCCCAGAAUGUCAUUUUUGCAAAAUCAGAGUCUUGAUCUACAAAUCAUCCAAUUCUUGGAAAAAAAUAAAAAGAACGUAUUAAGACAGGGGCUGUAUUAAUAGUUCACUGCAAAUAUGUGUUAAUAUAGUACUACUUUAUUUCAGUUAAUGAAAAUUACUGUUAUCUAAUCUGAAAGUUUAUUUUGAGAAAGCAGUAGAUACUUUAUAGAUAAGCCUACACUCUUACACUUAAAUUAUUAGCUGUAGUUGGAGUUAAACUGAAUAUCUCCAAGAGCUUCUAACUAACACAAAGGUGGGUGCAAAGGGUGUUAUCUUCCCAUUAGCUCCAGUACUCCCUUUAUAGGUGGCUGUUGGCAAAGAUAAGAAGACUGUCCACAGGAAAGCAGGAAAUUUAGUUGCCAUUUGGGAAGUUUUACAUGCUAAUUUUUCUUUUGCUUUUUUAUUUGUUUCUUGAUAUAAAUCCUAACUCUUGAGGACUGGCACUUUUGAGUAUUGCUGUGAUUUCCUGCUCAGUUGUUUCACUUAUCAAAUAGCUUCUCUUGUGUGACUAGAGCUAUUGAUCUGAAUAAAGUAAAGCAGGAUUUGGCCUAGCAUGAAAGUAAUCUUCAGGAUGUGAAUAAUACGAGCAAGCUGGAUUUUAAUUUGGAGAAGACUAUAAACUAUUUUUAUUUUCAAGCAAACAUAGCCAGCACAAUUCUAGAAAAGAAAUGCUAUUAAAUGUUUGCCAAAAUAAAUGGGGUUCUGUGAUCUUUUGGUAAUUGCUUAUGGUAUUGAAUAAGAUGUCCUGUUUUUCUUUGGAGAGUUUUCAACAGUUCAUUAAAAGAGCAGCACAGAGAGUUUGUGAUAGUCUAUGAAAAUGCUUGUAAUUCACUCCCUUUUCAGACUGAGAUAAAUCUGAAAUACGCCAUGCUAGUGAAGAGCUGAUUGAAGCUGAGCAUAUUUUCCUCUCUUUUGGUUACCACUGAAAGAAUGAGUGGAUUUUAUGGAACAAAUGUGUUUUCAGAAUUGAAGUGUGGGCUUUGGUGUAUUACAUGUCUCAAGGAACUUGAAAUGGUACUGUAAACUAUGUUCAUUUGCCCUUGUCCUUCAUUUCUUCUUAGUAGGAUUUUUCUUAUCCAUGACAGCAGUGUUAUUUAUAAAAAGGUGUUAUGGAAAGGAAAUAACUUAUGAGAAACCAAACAAGCAAAAACUCAUUUUGCAAGUGCAAGCUGAGAAAGAUACUCAUGCUAGGAGUACUUCCCAUAAGACUGUGUGACAGAAAAGGGCUUUAACCUUGUAACAAAUUAAUGUUUAUACUUGAAAGUCUUCCUGUUUUAUGUUUAAUUAUAACCUUAGAUCUGUAUUUUAGGUUUCUAAAUUUUUGGAGGCAAGCCAGUUUUGCUUUUAUUACUAAGCUUUCAAAGAGAUAGUUGGUUAAAUCUUAGGUAAGAAGACUGAAUUAUACAAUAUUAUAUAGAAAUCACUUUUUUAAUUUGAAAUCAAUAUUGCAAGAGGAGGAUUUUGAAGGAACAUUUGCCACACAAACCUAAGUUUCUUUUGAAAUUCUUGAUCCCAACUACCAACCCCCAGAGGUAACGUUCUACCUUUCCUAAUUUAUGUCAUAUUUUGCUGGAAUAAGCGAAUUGCCUUCUGUUUUCUUCUUUGUAAUCACUAGAAAAUUGAACUUUGAAUGUUAUGACCUAUUUCAAUGUAGCUGAUUGCUUGGCACAGAAUUCUAGUACAGUCUAUUGUGUACUUGUGAGAUAUACUUUUUGGGAAAGGAAUACAUAUGUGAAUCAAUGUAUUUCAUGGAUUUCCUGUCUAAUUUCAGAAUGUAUUAUAAUAUUCUCCUUGUAACAAAAGGCUAAUAGUCUAAAUGAAACUGCUUAAGUCAGUCCAGCCAGCAUGCUGUGCACCAACACCUUUGCUCUACAGAAAAUAUCAGAGAAGUUCAUCCAUUUGCCUACGCCUCACUGUUAAUACAUUAUGGCUAUUACCUAAGGUAUUGCUAUAGGAACUUCCAGAAUCUGUUUAUCUUGAAUACACAAUGGGUUUUUUAAGAUUUUUUUAAACACUCUUAGAAUCCUAUCAUUUUUGGAUUCGGAUCACCUUUAUCCUUGCAAGACAUACGUGCUUAUGGGUCACAUUUACAUUUGCAUGUGUGGGCUGAGAUGUAACUUGGUAUUACAUAGCUGCACACUCCUGAGUUACAAAAUAAGGCCAUGUGCAGGUCCUAAAGGUAAUGUUUCUUUUAGAAAUACGUACUUAUUUUCCCUUCUUUGCAUAGGGAAGGGCAUGGUCAAACUGGACUCUUACAAUAUAGUUACUGUGGCAGAAUUUAUCUUUCCACUGUUCUCCAUAAGCUUUUUAACGUCUUUGUCCUUUCAGAAGGACUCUGAAAUAUGGAGAGAGAAAAACAAAAACAAAUGAAAACAAAUCAGCAAACUUUCCAGCAGCUCCUGUAAGGAUUUCAUCAGCUUUUACAACCAGCUUUUAGCUCCUCUCUACACUUCGCUCACCUGGGACUUAGAAGAACUACAGUAGCUAGGAUUUUCCCUGUCCAAGCUGUGUAAGACUCUAGCAUUGUGUAUCCAGGCCACUUGGAUUUAUUUGCUCAUGUUUUUAAGAGGAAGAAAAUGCCUAAAUGACAUCUAAGGAUACAUUUUAUUUAAAACAAACAAAAAUCACAGCAAUAAUCUUGUUGCAUCCAGAAUGAACUUCAAAACCUUCCUGUGUUAUCAUUUGCCCUAUGUAAUUGCAAUGUCUGUUUUUACUGCACUUUUCUACUCUGAUGCACAACAAAAUUAAUUUCACAAUGACAAAGGAAAUCUUGGCCCUGAGCUUGCUUAAAGCCAUCAUGAGUCUGAAUCCUGCAGGAGUUUCUGCCAGAGGGGCUGAGAGUUGCAAUGAAUGGACUACUUAACCUGUGAACUAGUAGAAAAUAAUGUUGACCUCCAGCUAUCCAAGCAGUAUAUUUACUAAAUAAAUAAACUGUAAGGAAUGCCCUUCUAUUCCAGGGUCAGGUCAAUGUACAAUUUUAGGUGAAAAAUAAUGCUAUUUAUGGUUUUCUCCCUGUAAGUAAAUCUAAAUUUACUAUGUAGCUAGAUGGAAUUCAUUCAGUAAGUGUAUCAAAGACUGUAACUAACGAUUAUUUUAUGAAUUUCUUUCUGUGGUUGUACAAUCAACAAAUAUACAAUCAGCAAAGUGGCAUGGUUAGGCUGGUAUUUUACAGGAUUGUCACGGUGGAAAGGGAUAAUUGAAAAUAAAUGAAAAUGCUCACCCAUAUCCUAGGCUUGCAGAAAAUCACCAAAAGGAGCAAUCUCCAGAAAGAGAUGCUUCCCCCAUGACAGCCAGCCCUCAGAAGGGGUCUAGGAGAGGUGGAACCAGGCUCCAUCCCUUCCAGCCAUACAGUUGAAUUGCUUUCACCUGUUCUCCCACAGCUAACUCAGUGCUUGCCUCAGGUGAUCAGUCAGUGGUUCAGGCUGUAAUUCAACAUUCCCACACACUCCACUACUUCACAGUAUGAACCAACGAUCAGGUUAGCUAGAGGGUGAGCCUUCUCUAAUACAGAGAUCCAAUACAUCAUGAUGCUUAUACAAUUGCUUGUUGCGAUGCAUAUUGACACAAUUUAAGACAAGUGAUGAUCAGCAUAUGGUGAAAGUUCAUGCUCUUUUAUGGGCCAGUACUUGGUGGUGUUACUGGAGGCACGUAGUCGUGUGGUACAGGAUCAUCCUAUGCUCCAUCAGUCCCAUGUAGACCGUCACUGGGUGUCACACAUGAUCUGACAGCAACACUAGAAUGCUUUGAUGGCAUUUUGUUCCAGUGAUCCUAGAGGCUCAAAGACUCACAGGGAGUAAAAUAGAUAUUUCAGAGGUACAAGGAGGGAAAGGUCUGACUUCCAGGGCAGGAUACAGGCCAUACAUAUAUCCUGGGUCAACACUUCAACUUGUACCAUGGUAUGUCCCAGCCACCUGUACCAUACCUUUUGGCCAGAUGUCUGUGGCUGCAUAACUAUAUCAGGUACUAAAGGGGGUAUUCUGAUCUGCCCUAGGGCACACAAUAGCAGUCCCUUUAGCGAUGAAGAUUGUAGUGUUGACCACAAUAUCUGUAGGCUAUAUACCUAUUAUUGAAGGGACUACUGAUCCUCCCAGCUUCAGUAAUCUCCUCCAAAGCACAAGUAUGCCAUACCAUUUGGUCCUACCUCCACCUUCCAAGGCCAUUUUAUUCUAUGGGGGCCCAGAUCUAAAUUCUCAGGGGCAAAGAGCAGAUUAUUUUCAUUGCUAGUCUAGGGUCUUACUUGAUUACUGGUACCCAUAAUUUGGACUCUAAGUGGAGAGAUCCAUGUUGCCUGUAGCAUUUUCAAGGUACUGGAUCUGCUAUCUCUAGGUCUUUCAUUCAGGUCCCUCAGGGUUUCAUAGAGUCUCUUCAUCCACCCCUGCAGGAAAAGAGAGUCUGCCUUCAGGGCUACUAUAAGAAUACUGUUAUGAUGUUCAACUGAGGCCUGCCCCCAUUGGAUUAUAGGGCAGGUGAAAGCUUUGAGUGAACCCUCCAGAAAGAAAUCUUUCCCCAGUGGCAGUCAGCCCUUAAAUGGGGUCUAGGAGAGGUGGAGCUAUGCUCCACCCCUUCCAGUCACACAGUUGAAUUACCUUCACCCACACUCCCAUGGCUGACUCAGUGCUUGCCUCAGGUGAUCAAUCAGUGAUUCACAGGUGAUCCAUCACCUUUUCUUAGUUUCACUGGUUGUUAAAAAGGGAGCAGAUCAGGCUGGCUUGCUCAUCUCCAGCACCUUUUCUGAUGUGAUGAGUCUUUCCUCUUCAGUCUGCAGAGCAACAGCAGGCUUUGGAGGCAGUCUCCCUCUAGCUUGCCAUGGUUAUUUAGAAUUACAGGCACACAUCUGGGAACAUUUCUGCCACCUCAGGCAAGUCUGGUAAUGUCAUUCAGAUAAGGGAUUGGAAUAUGGGUCUGAGUUUGCACCUGACUUGGCAUUAUGCUUUAGUGUUCCUAGUAACUACUACAAACUUAUUUGAACUUUCUUCCUAAACAAGUUUUUAGCUAGGCAGAUGCCCCCACCAACUCUCCUGUAUUCUACUGUGCAUUCCUUGAGACAUACAGGCUUCAGCAUAACACUUAAAGAAAAAAAAUCCCUGCCAACUCUGACUGCAAAUUCACAUUACAUUAAAAGCAGAAUGGAAGAUUAGGGUACUAAAAAAAAACUUUACAAGCUAAACAAACCCUUACAGUAAAUAGGUUUGCAAAGAAAUCUGUCUUUUUCUUCUUAAAUUGCUUCAAAGAUGAAAGUUCCUUGUUGAUGGUUUAAGGGCUGGUCCAGCCCGGUUCCAUGACUAGUGGGGCGGAGGGCUUUCGCAAAAUCCGCACCUCUAGGAAGGGAAACAGGGGACCCCAAAAUAAUUUAAAAACAGCGGCAACGAUCUGAAGAGAAACAAACUAAUUUACUAAAUAUAGUAUCGGAAUGUAAGAUAACACACUAUAAUACAAUAUAAAUCAACAAUAAUUGAGAGAAAGAUUGUCCAAGAGCCAAAGGACUUACACUAAUACUGAAGCCUUGUGCGCAGUCGGAAGCAACAGUAGCGAGCUGAUCCGGUAGGGAACAUGGCAAGACGAGAAGAAGGCUGAGUCAGAUGACCUGCACCCUUAUAUCUAUUCCCUUGAGCAGGAAUGAUAACAGUAGUCGAAAAGACUCUUGGGGAACGCAGUUCUUCUUCUCUUCCAGACAGGUACAUGAAACUAAAGCAUUUGCUCUUUAACUCCCAGUACAAUGCAUGAUAUUGUGAUGUGCAAUACUGAUAACCAGAAAUCAUAAAACCAUGACAUUCCUGUUUUAAGAUUCUGGAAAAAUUAUCUUUAUAUAAAAUAAAUAAAUAAAUCUGGAACUGAGUUCAAGUAGAAGGAAUAGAAUGCAUGAUUCCAAAUUUUACGUGUGUCAUACAAUAGGUUUGUAUAUAUUGCAUAGAAUUCUGUAAAGUAGCAAGACUUGAUUAAGGGGAAACAUACACAGCAACUUUCUGAAGACUUGGCUUCUAAUCGUACAGCUUCUAAUCAUACUGUUAUCAACGGCUUUUCUAACAAUGGGUGCCAUCUUUUUAUAGAGCUGAUCAAUAACGAAAGAAAAUAUCCUACAUUUUCUUCUAAAAAGAAGUAACACAUUAGCUUGCUUUGUCACGGCCUCCUUAUAUUGGUAAAAAUGUCUGAGAAAUUAUACAGGGUCCAUUAUUUGGAAAAUCCAUUGGGAAAAUGGUAGCAAAGAUGAAAUAAUAAUGAAUAAAGUUACAAUAUCUAAAAUUGGGAAACAGAAACUAUGUCCUGUUGUUAAGAGAAUUAGUGUCUUCUAUGAAUACAGAGUCUGAAUAUGUUUAGUGUUGCUAUGUGAAACAAAACUUCAGGAUGUAAAUUUUUUCUCUCUCUUUAUUUGAGGGUAAAACCAGGAUUUCUUGUUGUCUGUGACAUUUUUAACUUCUACCAUCAAAUUUUGUAGAGUUCUCCCAAGAUUAUGAAUUUUCAUUUUCCUCAUGUGCCUGUAUCAAGGAGCCAGGAUGUCUUCAUGCCAUGAGGUGAAAGACAAAGUCCUCUAAAAUUUAUUCUUUGAGAAUCCAUCUACAGUUAAGGUUUGAGACAGUCUCCAGCCCAGAGAUUCAGGGCAUCUUUGUGUAUUCUGUUCAAAAUAAUCAAUACUACAGUUUAAAGGAGACAAGGGAGAGACCUAAGUGAUGAUCAACAGCAAAAUCCAUGACCAGGGCUCUCUAUAAAGAGAGAAGACCUUGGCUGUGCAUGACUUCCCAGAUCAUGACAAAAGAUAAUCGAAGUGGCAGCAAAAGCAAAACUCCUUUGAACAGUCUUAGAGCAGAAGGAGGAUGCUACUAGUUUCAGCACAAUUUGGUGUCAUUACUCAUCUCUCUUUCUGUGGGAAUGUCUGGUCUGCCCACAGCUGUGCUAUAAAUCAUAAUUAGUAUCAUGAAUAUUUUUCCUUCACAGCAGUUAAUGAACUAAAUAUCAGAAGUUUAUUACUUUAUUAGAGAACUGUUACAACCUUUGAACACAAUAUGUUGUUUAAAGCAAAAAUGAUGAUGAAUAUUCACUAGGAACUUUUUUAUUUUAUUUCAUUUCACUUUUUUUUUCCUUUCUAUACACAAGAUGUAGCCACUUUUAUUUGUCUGAAGGUGACAAAAGAAGGAAACACUACACAGGUCAGUGGAGUUAAUGUGGGAUUGAACUGAAUGGAGAACUAGGUUUGUAAUGUAGCCCUGAGUCUGCCUUUUCAUUGUUCUUAUGCUGGUAUCACUACUGAUUCAGAGUUGUUUUUCAUUGGUAUUAUUCAAACAGGUAGCACCUCCACACAGAAAUUACCCUGGGAUCCUGGUGGAUGGCAAAUUUAAUGUGAACUGUAGAGAACUCUUCUGGUGAGAAAGACCUGCAGUAUACUGACUUGCAUUAGUUCAGUGCAGACAGCAGAUCAAGUGAAAUAAUUGCUCCCCUUCAGUCAAAUGCUGUGAUGCUGUAUCUGAAUGAGUUCCGUCGUGGUCUUCACAGCCAAGAAAGGUAGUGACAAACUGCAGAGAGCCCAGGGAAGGGUUAUUAAAUAUAAACCAACCAUUUGGUUAGUGGUGUACUUCCAUGGGGACAGGCUGAGAGAACUUGAUUUGCUUAGCCUGCAAAGGAGAAGGAAAAUUCUAAUUGCUAUUGUUAACAGUGUUUUUGGCUAGAGAGGAGACAGAUAGCAUCAGACUCUUAGAAGUAAAAUGCAAGAUGACAGAAGGCAGUGUUCAUAGGUUGCUACAGGGGAAAUUCUGAAUGGAAACAAGGAAGAAAAUCUUCACAAUAAAGACAUCUGAAUGCUAGUACUACUUGUGCAGGGGGGAUGAGGCAUCUCUACUCUUGACAAAACUCAGAACUUUUCUGAACCCAGAUCUGAGACUCCUGGUCAAACUUUGAAGUUUGCCCUGCUUUGAGCAGGCGAUUAAACUGAGUGACCUACAGAGAAGCCUCCCAGCUGAAGCAUUCUAGGAUCCUUUGAUCCUGCACAUACUAGCCAUUGGCUGGAGGAAAAAAAUAAGACAUUUUCUGGCAUAUACAUACCAAAGUUUUAGUCAGCUCAGUUGUGCUGUGACCAAAUUUGGUCAUUGCCUACUAAACUAAUCUUGGUGUUUGAUAGUAUCUCUAAAUAAUUUCUGGUACAUAGCAGAGAGCAUAUUUUUAGGUUUCUACAACAAAUAAGGAGCAGGGUGUUUUCUAAUUAUACAGAAGGAACUAUGGUCUACUAUGUAUUAAAGGGGACAUCAGCUUGUGAAAAGUCCUCCCAGCUUGACAUAAGCAUUUCUGUUUUCCUCCCUGUGUGUUAUACGUAAUCACAUCUCUAGAAUUUUGACUUAAUGUGGUAUGGAUAACUUCACAUCUCAGCUGUUGAGACUGAUUAAUACAUACAUUCAGCAGUGUUUGAUAAAGAUUUCUUCCUGCUGUAAAUAUCCACUAUAUAUAAAUAUCCACUGUCCAAAUGAAUACUGUUGAAGUAAUAAUUCAUUUCAAAGUAGACUAAGCAAAUCUGAGAUUAUAUUGAAUUGUCUCCAGACUCCAUUAAAAGCAUAGUACAUGGUAUCAUUUUCACUCAGAGAGCCACCAGGAAAUGAAGCAAUCUGCUAAGCUCUCAUUUCUCAUUUUUUAGCAACUGUGUUUAUGUGGAUUUUUUGGGAAAUAAUAGGAAUUAAGAGACAAGGUUUGCAUUCUCAGCACGUGAUCCUGAGUAGGUCAUUUUUUUAAUCUCCAACUCACUCUGUAGAGAAGGUAUUUACAUGUAUUUUUAUUUUAUGACAUUCUUGAUUUAUGGAUUGAGAAGAAUGCAGUGUAUGAGUUAGAUCUUAUAAAAACAACAUUAGAAUUGACAUUGAAAAUGCAGCCAUUUAUGAAUUCAGUAUUUAGUCAAUACUGCAUAUGGAAUUUAACAGCAACAAUAUCCAGCCAGAUGUGAUUUCCUCUCAUUUUAUAUUGCAGGGUAGGGGGAAAUGUAUGCAACUAAAACCAAACCUUGUAAACAGCAACAGCAGCAACAACAGACUAAUCUGUGGAAAGUUAAUUGAACCAUUCCAAGCACUUUAGGAUGUCAAAAUCUUUAAAGCUGAAAAAUAGGCAUUCCCCUCAAAUGGUCUCUCUCCUGCUGGUAUAGAACACCUUGAUGUAGAGCUGUAGGGUUUAUUUGUGCCACAGAGCAUGUCUGUUACUUUGUAUGUGCUGCUGAAAAAUGUGUUAGUAUUUAAAUAUUAGCACAAAAGAAUGUUAUAUUUCCUGCUCUAACAAGAUCAGUUUCGAUAAAACCAAAUUUAUUCAUUCUUUUCUAUCCAUAUCUUGCAGCAUCAUUUUGCACUUCUCUUAGAGACUACACUACAGCAAUGUGAUCUGUGGUAGUCCUGUGAGCCCCAGGACCUUGAGUUACUUCCUUGCUGAAUCCAGUGGCAGCCUUGACAAGCAAUCUCGUUAGCAUUAGCCUACAAUUAAAUUGAAAGGAAAGUAGCUAAGCAUGCUUUUAUCUUUCUAAGACUUAUUAAAUUUCUUUCUAAACAGAAACUAUGAAUAAAGGCCUUGUGAUGCUAGCCAGCAGACAAUUCCUCAGAUGUAUAAGUUGAUAUAGACUAGUUAUUAAUGAAAGGAUAGAAAAGAUUAUGUUAAUUACCACCUGGCAUCGUGAGACUCUAAUCGCAUUCAGAAUAUCAAUGAAGCCAAUGAUUUUGAUUGUCAGAGCAAUAAUUUUGAGGGCUUGGUCCUUGGAGAUAUCAUAGUGAAGUCCUCUUCAGAAAAGUCUCAUUUCAUUUUAAUGAAAAUAUUCAAUAUUUGAGCUGAGAUGCAGAUUAAAGUCCAAGCUGAAUGUGAAAUCUAACUCAAAAAGCACUUUAAAAGCCAUCAGAUAAUUGCAAAUUUGGAUAAGAAACCUAGAGACUAGCCCAACAAUCAACUUAGCUGUUUCUUUUAGCUCAACAAAAGCCAGUGACUUCUAAAUAACAAUCAAACAGGUAAAAUUAAUAAUUGAGUCAGCUCCAAAUCUCAGUUCUGACAGCUUAAUUUGAGUAAAAGCUUUAUGUGAACUUUUUUAUCUAAUAGAAAAUGUGGUCUAUUUUAAUACUCAGAUCUAAACUUCUACAGUUAAAAAAAACGGGAAAAAAAUGUAAUUCAUCUCACCAUGUAAAAGCUACCCGUUGCUGCCCUGUAUUAUUCUUAUGAUAACUUGAAUUUUUUGUUAGCUGCUGUCUGUGUCUGAGGUUAUUUUCUAAGAAGCUUUGCCAAUGCUUAAUUUCUACUUACAGGAUGAGUGUAGCAGAAAAUAAUGCAAAUGCCAAAGCAGUUCAAAACAAACACAGCUUUUCUUCUGCCAUACAAACCCAUUACAGUGUUUACCAGUCCACCUGUGGGGUUCUGUUCAUGCUAUUUGUUAAUCAGCCCACGCUUCCAAACCCAAAAGUGAAUUUUAAUCUUUUUUAGAGCUGUGUUUUCUUGGAAUUAUUAUCUGCACCCCCUCAAAAACAAAACAAACCCACAAAAAUGUGUGAUUCUUGAUGUAGAGGAUUUCAGCUACUGAGGGAAUGUUAGUUGGCUUACCUAAGGUACUUUCUGUGGAAAGCCUUGAUGUUGUCCAUUUUGAGACCACCAAUUGAGUAGGUCAGUAUUCUCAAAUUAAAAUAAUUGUUAGAAAAAAAUAAUAAUUGAGGAACACUCCUGGCAUGUUACUGUGCCUAAACUGAACAACACUUCUAUAUCAUUUGAGGGUAGCCAUUUUGUUUUCUAAAUGUAAAUAUCAAGCACCAUGCUGUCUGCUUCCUCUGAAGGACCUAAGCACUGUAAACGUUUAGUGAUUGUAAAGGAAAACAGGGAAAUAUCAUCAGGGGAACUGCUGAUACCUGUAGCAUACGCUGAAGAUAUAAUGGCAAAGGAAACACUGAGUUAUUUUUGAGAUUGUUUUGGGUAGUUUGUAAGCCAAAGGUGAUACAAGAACUGUUAUAAAUAAAUUUGAAUUACUUUGUAGCAAGCAGUAUUCUCAAUUUAUUAUUGAAGAUUUUAUAUAAUGUAAAUUUUCACAAGAAUGAAUAAAAUAGAGUUUUAUUUAUUUACAGUAACAUAACUCCAUUGCCAGUGGACUUCUAAUAUCCAUCUGGAGGUAGGAUAGUUGGGUGUUUUGAUAUUUACAGACAUGAAUAGGUUUCUAAAUUACAUGUGGUGAAUAGAUCUUCUCAGCAUUGUUUGAGCUUGCACAGGCUUUCUCCUUUGAUCCUACAUAUUAGUCUGUUUAGUUCUAGGUUUAGGAGCUCAGAAGAUUCAAAGUGUUGAGGAGAAGGUAUUAAGCUCACGUAUUUAUUAGAUGCCCAAGAGUGAGUUUGUGGAGGGAACUGUAGGGUCAAAGUAACCUCUAUACAGUUUAUCUGUGUACUGUGUAUUAUUCAGGUUACUCACAGAUGAAAAUAAUAGUAAUAAUAAUGGGAAUAUUUGCAUAGAACCAGAAGACAAAUGGAACACAGUGUUGUUAGAGAUUGUCUUGUAGCUGUUAUGUAAACCAAAGGCUCAGUAAAAUAGAAUAAUAACUCCUGUCUGUGCAUAUAUCAAGUAAAUACCUAGAAGCCAAAUUGUUUUGUAAGCUGAAUGUCUUAGGCUUGUGGUUGAGGCAUGCAACUCAGUGAGGUUCUCCCCUGUAUGAUCAGGUUCUGUGACUUGGAAAGUAAAAAUUAGAAACAUAAAGGUGAGCUCAUAUAGAGAACUUAGAGCAAUGUGUAGGCUUGACCUUUGGCGAUGAUUGGCUACUUGAAAUAUGUGAGGGAGAGCGAUAAUCAAGAACGGUCCUUGGCCCAUCACCUAAUUCCCUGCAGUAUCUUUCACAGUGGCCCAUACAGACAUGCAUAUGUAUAAUUUGGAUAAGGAAAUAAACUUAUUUUUUUUCUCUAUCUCUGACAGCUUGAUGUUUGAAAUGAAUGAGUCUGCUGUUCAAGAGACAGGGUAGGGUGCUUUAAUGAGAACACAUGCUUGCUUACAACAAAUAAAUGAGAAAAUACAAUCUCACACAUGUAAGAAUGUAUUAUGAUCUUAGAACUGAACAUCCUGAAAAGCAAUUUUUUACUGUAAAUUGCACACUUGUCUAUGAGCAGAGCAGCCUUUGAUAAAGAGCAGUAAAUAUUCAAAGCAAAAAUACUUUGUUCCUUGUUACAAAUAGCGAUCUAUUGCUAAACUGAAGGCCAAUUAAAGCUACCUACAUGGAUAAUCACAGUUUCUGAAAAAAAAUGUAGGUCUUUCCUCAGCUCAUAGAUUUAUGACCUUGGAUUUUUACUCUGCAGCACAAGGAGCAUCAAUUGAAUUUGUUAGAAAAAUGAAUCUGUAAUAUCACAAAGUUUCAACAUGUUCCUGAACUUUUUUUUUUAAGCAAAUACCCUUUCUGCAGCUCAUAGAUGAGUAAUGUAUUAUUAAAAAAAAUAAUAAUAAAUUACUUAAAAAUGUAGUGAGGGAGUGAUUAAUUUGCAUUUUUAUUUUGGUCCUUGUAAUUAGCAGCUGUUAAUAAUCAAGUCUAACCUGACUCAUUUGCAAACAGAGGUGAGAGAGCUAUGGAGGAUUAAAAUUCUCAUGAUAUUCUAAGAAUUCAGAAAUCCAUGAAGCAUAAUUACCUCUAAGAAAUGGUAGAAAUUGUUAGUAUGAAGCCACCUGACAAAAGGAAUGUUGAUUCAUAACUUUUUCUGAAGACAUAUCUUCUGCGUCUACUUUGAUUAUAUACAGCAAUAGAAAUUUCUGGAAAUUCACUUUUCACAGCAAUGUAAAUAAAGGUAACAGCUGUAUAAGUUUAGAAAAUUUUUUGUUUUCUGGUUUAUUAAAUCAGUAUGGCUCCUUUCAUGUUAGACAAGGAGGCAGUUCUAAGUAUAGUAAAUACAAUCGGGCUUUACUUUAUACUCUAAAUAUAGUUUGUACCACCAGGGAAGAGAGUAACAAUAGCUCUUCUAAAGCUGCCUAGAGAGUGUAAUCAUGACCUCGUCACAAACAAGAUUUGGUGUGCAGAAUUCUUCUGUCUUCAGCUGUUGCUUAGGCAAUGGGUACUGCCAACUCCUACUGCUGAGCUAAAAUAUGGCUUUACUGUGGUUUUGGGCCAAUUACUAGUUGAUGGAGAUUGUUCAGCAGCAAUUAAGAUGAGAUUACACAUGCUUCUGCUUGGAUGCACAAGUUUUCUCCCAACAACCUGGAUUGGUCAUAUGAGACUUUGCUUCUUUGCUGUUACCAGUACUUUUGCUUGCUACUUAAACAUGGGAAUACAAGAAAAAUUGUUCAGAGCAGCAGCUGUGGAGCAAGAUAAACAGCAAGAGAACCAAGGACACCUCUAGAAGAAGAAAGAAUGGCUUGCAGCUCUGAUUGGAUAAACGCUCGCAUGAAUGUUUGAAGAGUGUUUGUAGAAUGCUCUGUUGACAUGUAAAGGAGGAUGGGAAAGCUAGAAAAAGAAAACUUGUGAAGAUAUAUAAUUGAUGUGAGAACUUGUAAUAAACGAUUUGGAUCAUUCACAUCUGAGCCCG